GGCGGCGUGCCUAAUACAUGCAAGUAGAACGCACAGGAUGCACCGUAGUUUACUACACCGUAUUCUUUGAGUUGCGAACGGGUGAGUAACGCGUAGGUAACCUGCCUGGUAGCGGGGGAUAACUAUUGGAAACGAUAGCUAAUACCGCAUAAGAACAUUUACUGCAUGGUAGAUGUUUAAAAGGUGCAAAUGCAUCACUACCAGAUGGACCUGCGUUGUAUUAGCUAGUUGGUGAGGUAACGGCUCACCAAGGCAACGAUACAUAGCCGACCUGAGAGGGUGAUCGGCCACACUGGGACUGAGACACGGCCCAGACUCCUACGGGAGGCAGCAGUAGGGAAUCUUGGCAAUGGGGGGAACCCUGACCGAGCAACGCCGCGUGAGUGAAGAAGGUUUUCGGAUCGUAAAGCUCUGUUGUUAAGGAAGAACGUGUGUGAGAGUGGAAAGUUCACACCAGUGACGUACUAACCAGAAAGGAC
Molecule: ribosomal RNA, 479 nt
Filed under: Streptococcus constellatus
Lineage: Bacteria; Bacillati; Bacillota; Bacilli; Lactobacillales; Streptococcaceae
Description: bacterial SSU rRNA
Rfam family: Bacterial small subunit ribosomal RNA
Source: RNAcentral